UCAGAGACACCGAACUCUCAGCUUGGGGCACAACGAGACACAUUUGUGCAGGAAUAUAUGUGCCACAUGCUGCUCUCCAGCCUGCUGUGGGUAUCCGUGGCUUUCAUCUUCUCUGGAUCCAGUGUGGCCCAGAAAGUUACUCAAGACCAACCAGCCACAUCCAUGCAAGAGGGGGCGGCAGUCACCCUAAACUGUUGGUAUGAAACAAGUGAGACCGAAUACUUUACUGUUUUUUGGUACAAGCAGCUUGCAAGUGGAGAGAUCAGUUUCCUUCUUUAUCAGGAUUCUUACGGGCAGAAUGAAAAGAAAGGCCGCUAUUCUACAAAUGUAGAGAAAGCAGCUAAAUCUAUCAGCUUCACGCUUGCACCCUUACAGCUGGAAGAUUCAGCAAAGUACUUCUGUGCUCUCUGGGAACUCACAGUGUUUGAAGUGACGGUAAAAGCUGAACAAAAACCCCAGAGUUCCAUAACAGCAUCCCGCUGCUGCAGAAGCCAAGCUGAAAUGCACACCCUCAGAUCCCAGACAAGAAAUGGCUCUCACUGUGGUUGCUUAAUCUGUGGUCUGGAUCAGAAGAUCUGA
Non-coding RNA from Rhinolophus ferrumequinum (greater horseshoe bat), 579 nucleotides. NCBI's taxonomy places the organism in Eukaryota, Metazoa, Chordata, Mammalia, Chiroptera, Rhinolophidae. The record is from the annotation of a RefSeq genome assembly.